Capsicum annuum is the source of this 107-nucleotide non-coding RNA. The record is from Rfam. Lineage: Eukaryota; Viridiplantae; Streptophyta; Magnoliopsida; Solanales; Solanaceae.
UUAUGAUGGUGUGGAAAGUCCCAAAGAAGAUCCUUGAAAUGCUCCCAAGCAUUAUAUAAAUUUUCAUCUAGCUUCUGUUUUAAGUACAUAAUCUCACUGCGAAGUCU